GCCUGGAUAGCUCAGUUGGUUAGAGCAUGGUGCUGAUAGCGCCAAGGCGGCAGGUUCGACCCCUGUAUGGGACA
RNAcentral lists this transfer RNA (74 nucleotides) under Podarcis lilfordi (Lilford's wall lizard). RNAcentral describes it as "tRNA.Ile". The stretch from base 8 to 66 matches the Rfam family "tRNA", at positions 8 to 63 of the family's 71-position model. Rfam says of the family: Transfer RNA (tRNA) molecules are approximately 80 nucleotides in length. The record is from RNAcentral. Lineage: Eukaryota; Metazoa; Chordata; Lepidosauria; Squamata; Lacertidae.